Molecule: ribosomal RNA, 207 nt
Filed under: uncultured bacterium
Lineage: Bacteria
Description: partial 16S ribosomal RNA
Rfam family: Bacterial small subunit ribosomal RNA
Source: RNAcentral
UGCGUAGGCGGCCGUGCAAGUCUGGCGUGAAAGCCCCGGGCUCAGCCCGGGAAGUGCGCUCGAAACUGCGCGGCUCGAGUGCCGGAGGGGAGAGUGGAAUUCCUGGUGUAGCGGUGAAAUGCGUAGAUAUCAGGAGGAAUACCGGUGGCGAAAGCGACUCUCUGGACGGCAACUGACGCUGAGGCACGAAAGCGUGGGGAGCAAACA